GAUGGAGAACGCAGCGAAAUGCGAUAAGUAAUGUGAAUUGCAGAAUUCAGUGAAUCAUCGAAUCUUUGAACGCACAUUGCGCCCGCCAGUAUUCUGGCGGGCAUGCCUGUUCGAGCGUCAUUUCAACCAUCAAGUCCCCGGCUUGUGUUGGGGACCUGCGGCUGCCGCAGGCCCUGAAAACCAGUGGCGGGCUCGCUAGUCACUCCGAGCGUAGUAAUACAUCUCGCUCAGGGCGUGCUGCGGGUUCCGGCCGUUAAAAAGCCUUAUUUACCCAAGGUUGACCUCGGAUCAGGUAGGAAGACCCGCUGAACUUAAGCAUAUCAAUAAGCGGAGGA
This 335-nucleotide unclassified non-coding RNA is filed under the name soil metagenome. RNAcentral describes it as "partial contains 5.8S ribosomal RNA, internal transcribed spacer 2, and large subunit ribosomal RNA". The stretch from base 1 to 120 matches the Rfam family "5.8S ribosomal RNA", at positions 35 to 154 of the family's 154-position model. The record is from RNAcentral.